UCCAGAUCCAAGGUGGAUGGGUAUUGAAGAUUUCAAAAUGAAGCUCAUUCAGUUAAAAAGCUCAGAAUUGUGGGCAUCAAAGUUUGGAGAUCUGCGGAAUGCACUUGAAGCUACCAAGAGAGGUCAUGGGGCCUCUAUUCUGACCUGCUGGACGUCCCUGCCAGUGAAAUUUAACUGUUCAAAGCAAAUUAUGUUUGCAAUGCUUUCAGCAUUUGGAUCCACAUACCUGUGUGAACAGGUAU
Chelonia mydas (Green sea turtle) is the source of this 242-nucleotide long non-coding RNA. RefSeq lists it as uncharacterized. Lineage: Eukaryota; Metazoa; Chordata; Testudines; Cheloniidae. The record is from RefSeq and is a predicted model, not a curated record. The transcript is spliced from 3 exons.